Megalopta genalis is the source of this 4372-nucleotide non-coding RNA. The record is from RefSeq and is a predicted model, not a curated record. NCBI's taxonomy places the organism in Eukaryota, Metazoa, Arthropoda, Insecta, Hymenoptera, Halictidae.
UUAACAAUAACAAUUUAUUAUUGAACCGUUAAAUUAUAACAUCAAUUUGACUUUUAUCGAUUUUAUCGAUAUAUAUAAUAAUGAAAUAAAAAAAAUAAGCAACAAAGAUCUGUUUAUUGUUACAGUUGAAGUUAUUAAUAGCGAAAUGUAAAAGAAUCUGUUUCAAAUAACAAUUAUCGGUAGGGGAAAUUCUAUUUUGGUCAUGCAUAGUUAUCAGAAACGGAAACUUUAUUUGGGUCGUCAAUAAUAAUAGUUUUGGAUCAUAAUUGAUCAUAAUUGUUCGUAAAAGUUAUUCAUAAAAGGAAUUUUCUAAUACGGUGCCGAAUUGUUUCGCGUUCGACGGAGACGAUUUUCCGUAUCCACACACCAAACCAGUGUUUUUAUUGCUUUAUGAAAUGCAAUACAGUUGACCUUUCUGUAACAUGGUACAUAAUUUGGGAAUACGGUUUCGGUAUAACGCGGCGUGCAUAUUGGUAGAAGAAAUGUUCCCAUCGCGUGUCACUGUUUUUAUUAACAUAAGCAGUGGGGGAGACCGAGGACGGUUGUAACACUUCGAUUUUAGAACACAUGUUAUUAUUACACAUAAACUAUCGUAUUUACAACGACAAUUAUUGUACGAACCUCUUACCUACUUAUCAGAGUAGGUUAUUCAGUUACUGUGGUUUUGUUGGGCAUUAAGGAAUAUCCAAGUUAUUAAUAAAACAUGGGAAGCUGAUAAAAUGUUACAACCGACCCCGACCCCGGGUCGAUUGUAACACAGAGCGGCAUUCUUUACGUGCCCAGUCAUCACAGCCACGACAUUGGACUCAUUUUUCAUUAAUUUUGCUUGUACUAUAAGAUUUCUAGCCAUCUUCGUACGCUUUCAUAAAUUUUUGUACGAGGCAUUUUAAAAGCUUGAUUAUGAUAUUAAAUUAUAGCAAUUUUAAAUUUGUUAGCUAACCUAAUAAAUAGAAGUACCUAUUUAAAUUAUAAGAUGAAGAAAAUUAGGCGCAGAAAUUUCUUACAAUUCACCCCGACUGUCGGCGUUGCAAUCGUACCCGUCCACAUUUUCAAACUUUAAUUAUAAAUUGUUAUUUAUCGCAUACUUAUUAAUGCAAGGUAACUGUCAGCAUUUCUUUAGAACGUAUGAAAUUAGGGAUUUGAAACAAAAAGGAGGAAUAUAUUUGCUAAAAAAGCACUUAUCACAAAGUACAUCACGAUUUUGAAGCAGUAAGGAAAGUUAGCUUUUACUUGCCGUAAAGUUAUUUUCAUCCUUGUGCAGAGUGUGAGAAAUGUCAUUUUACAUCAAACAGGGUAUCAUGUAACUGGUUGUACAACCGGACAGGCGCUGAUUCUAUGUUAAAAAAUAAGUCGAAAAAGAGAAUAACAUUCUUUCAUUUAAGGCUCCAUUUUCGAGGAAAAUUAUGUUGAAAAUAUGAUACUAUUGAGUAGCAAUCAAGUGACGUAUCUGAUCAUGGUAUACCAAUUCUACUUCUCAUCAUACUACAAGCCACGCAAACUUCACGCAUCUUCCAACUCAGUUUUCUCGAAAACGGAGCCUUAAAUGAAACAAUGUUAUUCUUUUUUUUUCGACUUAUUUUCUGACGUAGAAUCAAUAUCUAUUCGGUUGUACCACUAAUUACCCAAUUUUUAGAAGGAAAUAAACUCUAAUUGGCUUCUCUAAUUGGUACCUAUCUCACUCUAACCCAGGUUCGAACAAAAAAGUCUCGGGACUCUUUACUUGUAUACAAUUUUUCUAUUGAUCCAAAAAACGCAGGCACGUAAAUUGUAAUACUUCUUGCGUGACACCUGUGGCCAAGCCUUAGUACUACAUAAUAACCGUAUACCUCCUUAUAACCUAUAUAUAUAUAUAUAUAAGAGUAUAAAGAUCAGUGUCCACGGUACGCACUGGAAAAAUCAGAGAGCACAAACAUCAGCCAAUUCGCAUCCAGUAAAAAGGGGCAGGUACUAGCCAAUUAGAGUAUAUCACCUUCUAAAAAUUGGUUAUGUCUAGGUUAUGUUCGGCACUAGCAGGUGCUGCCUCCAGUUACAUAUAUGUAUAUGUUCUAAUGGUUCAGUCAACUCCUAUACCUCGUCUGUGCUUGCAUCUUCGAUUCCACGUCGACAGUUCUACUUAGGCGCCAUCUUACAAAGCACUGUUCUAACUAAACUUGCUACAUUUUUGCUCUACAUUAUCGAUAUCAUGAAUGCUGACGACUGAAAGCCAUGCUCAAGGCCAUACUCAUAGGAGGGUAUUUUUCGAUGGGAAAUGUAUCAUUCGAAAGAUGAAGAUCCAAUGCAGAGCCCCGUGGUCAUGAUUUCAUACAGAGAACUCAUCAAUGGUAUAAAAAUGCUUCGACUUCAUGGCUCAAUGUUUUGCCUGCUUUCUAACACUUAUAUUACGAAAUAUCUGUAUAAUCUCAUUAAAUCGUGAUCACGGUAUUCCGCCUUGAACCGUCCUCUCUCGAAUGACUUAUUUUCUAGCGAAAAAUAUUCGCAUACAAAGACGAAAUCUUGGGGAACUUAAACGUCCGUAAACCUAUUAUUUUUUUCGGGAACCUUGUUACUUUACUUUUAUCGCGUCGCAAUGUUACGAACAAUGGACAAAAGUAAAAAAAGUGAAGUCUAAAAUUCACAGCUUAUUGUAAUAAAAAUAAAUAUUAAUAUAAAUUAAAUUUAAAUACUGUCCACAAUUUUUACUGAAUUUUCCGGUUCGUUGGCAAAAAUGAUGCUUGAAAUUUAUUCCAAUUUUCAGUGUACUUUCUUUAAACACAUGUCAUUUCUCGAAUGUUUAUGAUGUUAGUAUCAUAAAGGCUUCCAAGCUACAGAACAAUGUUUAUAUAAUAUUAACAAUUUGUUCCAAUUUUGCGUGUCAAGUGUUUAUCAACUUUGGCUUGAGUGUUUGCCCAUCACGAAUAAAUCACGAACUUGCCAACACGAGACAAUAAGACGCUGCUUCUACCGAUAGUUGACCGUUCCUCCAACGAGGACGAUUUCGAACACGCCAGCACACCGAUUAGAAAAUUCGACGGCCACUACUCAAUUUCACAUGUAAUCAAUCACAACAGAACCGAACUGACGACGAAUGUAACAUGUAACACAAUCAGAAUCGACAGAACACAAAAAACAGCGAAAGCUAAAAAAACACGAAAAAUCGCGAAACCGUAAAGAACAAGAUGAAUCGCGAAACAGUAAAGAAUUUAAAUUAAUUUCAACGAGACGUUGUUAAUACUUAACUUCGUCAGUGCCAUCACUAAUAUUGAAAUAUUUAAGAAAAACAAUAUAUACAUAAAAAUAAUAUUCGUUGAACACUAGUUGGUCGACACGCGUACAUUGCCAUGAAAUCGUUCGAGGCCGACAUGUUUUACAAAUGAGGCGAGGUGAAGCGAAAUGACCAGCGAUCGUGUCUAAAGACAGUAGUAGACUGAUUUAUUUUCCGUGCGUAACAGCGCACGGUGUUCUGACGAAGCAGCAAUCUGUGGCCAAAAUUAUUUUAGCAUUGCUUCAAGGUUUAAGGUUAUAUUAUAGUAGGUUGUUGAAUUCGUGUCUCAACACAAGCUAGAAUAUUAAUUAAUUAACGUUUAAAACAUCGAGGCGAUCAGCAUUUCUUAUGAGAAGAAAACUUUUUUCUGUAAGUUUUUCAAUUUCAAUUUGUAGAAGAGUAAAUGCUGACUAACUUCUGUUCGAAGCAUCUUUUUGCCAGAUUAUUGAAAAUGUGUGAAAAAUCAUGAUUUGAUUUGGAAUAUGGAUACAUGGAUUAAUAUUAUAAAUAUAAUUGGUCAUUUCGUACAUAAUUAUAUAUUUAUAUAAAAGGUAGAAACCGAUCUGGCUCACGCCGAUCUGAACUCAAAUCAUGUAAGAUAUUGAAAGUCGAACAGACUCAAUAAUUAAACUACUACAAUUAAUCUAAUCCUUAAUUCAACAUCGAGGUCACAAACAUUUUUAUCGAUAUGAACUCUCCAAAAAUAUUAUGCUGUUAUCCCUAAGGACUACCAUUUCACUGCACAUCCAAUCCGCAGUGAAUCCUGCCUCAGCAGUGAAUCGUCAGCCAAUCAGAGCAAAGAAAUUUUCUAUAUCGAUCCUCGCUAACGAAUCAAGCUGCGGCUUGGAGAUGUGCAGAAGUAGGACCCAUUACUGCACAAGCUUGUCUGCUCGUCCAGGCGUCGAAAUACACCUCGAGCUUUAUUUUUCGAAUACCAUAAAGCCAAAGGGUGCGAUUUUAAGAUGCACUUAAAAUUGAUAUGCCCUUAAUAACGAUGAAAUCAUCUUUUGUAUGAAACAAGUUUCUUUUUAUCAAUUAUUAACAUUUUUUCUGUAAACCAAACGUUAAAACUGUUACAUGCAUUUCGAUGUUUAUACAUAUAAUAAAAAAUGGAUUUAGUAACUAAAGUAA